AGCAGCAGCAGCAACAACAAGAGCAGCAGCAGCAGCAGCAGCAGCAGCAGCAGCAGCAGCAGCAGCCACAAGCCUUGCCUCGGUAUCCUCGUGAAGUACCUCCACGAUUUCGCCACCAGGAACACAAACAGCUUCUAAAGAGGGGUCAGCAUUUUCCAGUCAUAGCAGCAAACUUGGGAUCUGCUGUUAAGGUGUUAAACAGCCAAUCAGAAAGCAGUGCUGUAACAAAUCAACAGCCACAAAAUAACGGAGAGGUGCAGAACAGCAAAAGCCAGUCAGAUAUAAAUCAUAAUACUUCAGGAUCCCAUUAUGAAAAUUGCCAGCGGGGACCUGUGUCUUCUACAAGUGACUGUAGCACAAGCUGUAAGAAUGCUGUAAACGAC
This 383-nucleotide long non-coding RNA is filed under the name Rattus norvegicus (Norway rat). RNAcentral's name for it is "long non-coding RNA NONRATT001174". Lineage: Eukaryota; Metazoa; Chordata; Mammalia; Rodentia; Muridae. The record is from RNAcentral.